CGCUGGCGGCGUGCCUAAUACAUGCAAGUCGAACGCUUUUUCUUUCACCGGAGCUUGCUCCAUCGAAAGAAAAAGAGUGGCGAACGGGUGAGUAACACGUGGGUAACCUGCCCAUCAGAAGGGGAUAACACUUGGAAACAGGUGCUAAUACCGUAUAACACUAUUUUCCGCAUGGAAGAAAGUUGAAAGGCGCUUUUGCGUCACUGAUGGAUGGACCCGCGGUGCAUUAGCUAGUUGGUGAGGUAACGGCUCACCAAGGCAACGAUGCAUAGCCGACCUGAGAGGGUGAUCGGCCACACUGGGACUGAGACACGGCCCAGACUCCUACGGGAGGCAGCAGUAGGGAAUCUUCGGCAAUGGACGAAAGUCUGACCGAGCAACGCCGCGUGAGUGAAGAAGGUUUUCGGAUCGUAAAACUCUGUUGUUAGAGAAGAACAAGGAUGAGAGUAAAAUGUUCAUCCCUUGACGGUAUCUAACCAGAAAGCCACGGCUAACUACGUGCCAGCAGCCGCGGUAAUACGUAGGUGGCAAGCGUUGUCCGGAUUUAUUGGGCGUAAAGCGAGCGCAGGCGGUUUCUUAAGUCUGAUGUGAAAGCCCCCGGCUCAACCGGGGAGGGUCAUUGGAAACUGGGAGACUUGAGUGCAGAAGAGGAGAGUGGAAUUCCAUGUGUAGCGGUGAAAUGCGUAGAUAUAUGGAGGAACACCAGUGGCGAAGGCGGCUCUCUGGUCUGUAACUGACGCUGAGGCUCGAAAGCGUGGGGAGCGAACAGGAUUAGAUACCCUGGUAGUCCACGCCGUAAACGAUGAGUGCUAAGUGUUGGAGGGUUUCCGCCCUUCAGUGCUGCAGCAAACGCAUAAUGCACUUCGCUCUG
Molecule: ribosomal RNA, 871 nt
Filed under: Enterococcus casseliflavus
Lineage: Bacteria; Bacillati; Bacillota; Bacilli; Lactobacillales; Enterococcaceae
Description: bacterial SSU rRNA
Rfam family: Bacterial small subunit ribosomal RNA
Source: RNAcentral